Molecule: long non-coding RNA, 1438 nt
Filed under: Trifolium pratense (red clover)
Lineage: Eukaryota; Viridiplantae; Streptophyta; Magnoliopsida; Fabales; Fabaceae
Description: long non-coding RNA (TPRA_LNC004874)
Source: RNAcentral
CUAGAUCUGUGACAUGUGGCAAUAAAUAAUUCAAUGGUCUAGAUUAGAAAAGAAAAAAGAAAAGAAAGAAACACAUAAACGUAAAUUCCCACUUAUUCUUCCCUUACACAAUAUCACGGUUCAUAUUCCUUGCUAGAUCAUUCAUCUCCUUGAAACUCGCGGCUAAAAUAAGCUCUUUCUCCGUCUCAACACCAUUCUCCGCCGUCACCUCUCUUUGUCACUACCAGCACCGCUGUUGUUGUUUCCGUUUCGCCAUCAUUUUCACUGUUUCAGUUUAAGAUUGAUGGAAAAUAAUAUCAGCUAUGUCAAUGCUCCAUUGUUCACUAUGUUGCACGGGUACUCCGUUUUAGACAGAGUACCGGUACCGGGUACGUACCGGGUACCGGUACGCGUAUGGUACUCCCAUGGUACGUACCCUCAAAGUACCGAGUUUUUUUGUUUGUUUUUUCNNNNNNNNNNUUUUUUUUUUUUUUGCAACACUUUCCAAUCCCAUUCUUCUUUUAUUUGUUUAUUUUUUUAAUAAAGAUUCAUUUUAGUUUAAAAUUAGAAUCAAUUCGGUCUCCUUCCCUUUUUAUUUAUUUUUAAAAGUAGAGUCGCAUAGUCUUACUACUACUCCUAAUUUCCUAAACGUGUAAACCACAAUACUUUUAAAGUUUGCUAUUUUUUAUGUUUAAUUAUUUUUUUAAGAAUAUAAUUUUAUUAUUUUAAGUAUAUAACUAUAUUAAAAAAAAUUAUACAAGCGUACCCGUACCUUAAUUUUUCUAAAAAUACCGUACCACGUACCGGUACCGGUACCGGAUACCAGUACCGUACCCGCACCUGUGCAACAUAGUUCAAUACAUACAUAUGCAAAUAAUAGAUAAAAAGAAUUUAACAAAUGGUUCACAAUAUGGAAUGUAUCCUCUGCAUUUUUUAUGCAGAAAUUGGCAUAUGAUAACCACAAUUAAUCCUACGCUAUUCAAUAUGGAAUAUAUCAGCUAUGUUGGUUCAAGAUAAAAAAGAAUCACCCUCUUUGUUAUAACACAAAUACAAUAUUUGGUACAUAUUUUUGUUUUCUGCAUAAAAAAAUGCAGAAGAUUCAACAUAAUCAAAGAGGGAAGAUUACAUAAAAGUGAAACCUAAAAUUACAAUCAAACAGUUUUGAAUUUAAAUCAAACAAUCUUCAAUUUCAUUAGGACGGCGACUUCAUGGGUUAGCAGUUAGCACAUCUAGCUUGUUUGCAACUCGAAAAUUUGCAGUUCUUCGUGGAGGUUGGUGUAGCAGUGGUCGUGGUGGUCGAAAACUUGCAGUUCUUCGUGGAGGUUAAAACAUCCGUGACGGAAUAGGACAUACGGAGAGAGAUUGUUGUGGGUGGAGAUGGGAUAUGGAUGGUCAUGGCGGCAACAAGGUGAGACGCGACGGUGAAGCAAAGAAGAAGAGUUCAGAUCGAGAAACAAGG